Molecule: ribosomal RNA, 563 nt
Filed under: Naganishia albidosimilis
Lineage: Eukaryota; Fungi; Basidiomycota; Tremellomycetes; Filobasidiales; Filobasidiaceae
Description: eukaryotic LSU rRNA
Rfam family: Eukaryotic large subunit ribosomal RNA
Source: RNAcentral
AGUGAAGCGGGAAGAGCUCAAAUUUGAAAUCUGGUAGCCUUCGGUUGCCCGAGUUGUAAUCUAGAGAAAUGUUUUCCGUGCCGGCCCAUGUACAAGUCCCUUGGAACAGGGCGUCAUAGAGGGUGAGAAUCCCGUCCUUGACAUGGACCCCCGGUGCUUUGUGAUACAUUUUCAACGAGUCGAGUUGUUUGGGAAUGCAGCUCAAAAUGGGUGGUGAAUUCCAUCUAAAGCUAAAUAUUGGCGAGAGACCGAUAGCGAACAAGUACCGUGAGGGAAAGAUGAAAAGCACUUUGGAAAGAGAGUUAAACAGUACGUGAAAUUGUUGAAAGGGAAACGAUUGAAGUCAGUCAUGCUCUUUGGUAUUUAUAUCAUUGAGUGGGGUCAACAUCAGUUUUGAUCGAUGGAUAAAGGCACUAGGAAGGUAGCACUCUCGGGUGAACUUAUAGCCUAGCGUCAUAUACAUUGAUUGGGACUGAGGAACGCAGCAUGCCUUUAUGGCCGGGAUUCGUCCACGUACAUGCUUAGGAUGUUGACAUAAUGGCUUUAAACGACCCGUCUUGAAA